GAUGAACGCUGGCGGCGUGCCUAAUACAUGCAAGUCGAGCGAACGGACGAGAAGCUUGCUUCUCUGAUGUUAGCGGCGGACGGGUGAGUAACACGUGGAUAACCUACCUAUAAGACUGGGAUAACUUCGGGAAACCGGAGCUAAUACCGGAUAAUAUUUUGAACCGCAUGGUUCAAAAGUGAAAGACGGUCUUGCUGUCACUUAUAGAUGGAUCCGCGCUGCAUUAGCUAGUUGGUAAGGUAACGGCUUACCAAGGCAACGAUGCAUAGCCGACCUGAGAGGGGGAUCGGCCCCACUGAAACUGAGACACGGUCCAGCCCCCAACGGGGGGCAGCAGUAGGGAAUUUCCCGAAAGGGGGGAAAGCCUGCGGGGGCAACGCCGGGGGGGUGAUGAAGGUUUUCGGAUCGUAAAACUCUUUUAUUAGGGAAAAACAUAUGUGUAAGUAACUGUGACAAUCUUGACGGUACCAAAACAAAAAGCCCCGGCUAACUACGU
RNAcentral lists this ribosomal RNA (496 nucleotides) under uncultured bacterium. RNAcentral's name for it is "partial 16S ribosomal RNA". It matches the Rfam family "Bacterial small subunit ribosomal RNA", at positions 28 to 506 of the family's 1533-position model. The record is from RNAcentral.